GUGGGGAAUCUUAGACAAUGGGGGAAACCCUGAUCUAGCCAUGCCACGUGAGCGAUGAAGGCCUUAGGGUUGUAAAGCUCUUUCAGCUGGGAAGAUAAUGACGGUACCAGCAGAAGAAGCCCCGGCUAACUUCGUGCCAGCAGCCGCGGUAAUACGAAGGGGGCUAGCGUUGUUCGGAAUUACUGGGCGUAAAGCGCACGUAGGCGGACUGGUCAGUUAGGGGUGAAAUCCCAGGGCUCAACCCUGGAACUGCCUUUAAUACUGCCAGUCUAGAGUUCGAGAGAGGUGAGUGGAAUUCCGAGUGUAGAGGUGAAAUUCGUAGAUAUUCGGAGGAACACCAGUGGCGAAGGCGGCUCACUGGCUCGAUACUGACGCUGAGGUGCGAAAGCGUGGGGAGCAAACAGGAUUAGAUACCCGAGUAGUCC
Molecule: ribosomal RNA, 425 nt
Filed under: uncultured bacterium
Lineage: Bacteria
Description: partial 16S ribosomal RNA
Rfam family: Bacterial small subunit ribosomal RNA
Source: RNAcentral